GGACAGCCUGCAGUUCAAGCCCAGGAGGCAGGAGCUACUGUGGAUCUUAUUCUUGCUAUCUGCACUCUCAUCUCUUUGACUCCUCACAACCACCCUGUAAGGUGGGCACUUGGCAGAGGAGGCAAUUCAAGUUUUGGAGAAGGAGGAGCCCCACUACUUCCCUGGUCUUCUGGACAGACAACAGCAGGCAAAAGGGCUCCAUCAGUGGUUUUCAAACUGUGCUCCAAGGCACCCUGGGGCCAAGAAGAGUUUGCAACCACCCUGAAGAGAGGAUGUCCCCAAGGUCCUCCUGGGACCCCACCCACCUCCCUGCCUCCCCUUCAGUCCUGGUCCACCCCUGAAAGGCAGGAUGUGGCUGCCAAAGGUAGGUAGGGAAAAGGAAGGCGUGGGGGGCUGUGCGCAGGAAUCUACAUCCUGGGGACCCGGAGAUGGGAACUCCAGGUGCUUGGAGCCCGGCUUCCGGCUCCAUCCUAGGGAAGAAGCCUCGGCCGCCGCCUCCCGGGAUGAAACUGCCUGGCUUGCAGCCCAGAGCUCUUCCCGGACACGGUGCCGGCAUCUCAGCUUCCCUUCUGGUGGAGGAGACACUCUGGAGCCGCUUGCUCAGGGCUUGGAUUUCCAAGACUGGAUCAUCCAUGGCUGUGGCUACUGAGUCCCAGAUACCCCAAGUAUCCAGCAAGAGAGUGAAGCUGGGCCUGUGCCGAGCGCUGGGGACCCUGCCCAUUCUGUUUGCAUGAAUUUAACCCCAGCACACCCUUCUGCGGAGGAGGACUAACAGGUUGGGGGAUGUCCGUGAGCAAUAGGGAGCGGUGAGGCCUGAGGCCAAAUGGAGCACCCCUCGCCCUUCCAAAGCGGGCAGUGGCUACUUGGCUCCAGCCUGCAAUGGCCAGACUUUUGAUUUUUCAAGAGAAGCCAGAAAUCUGGGUUAUAAUUUGAAAUCUCCAGAGUUUGGAAAAGUUUUAUGAGCAAAACACAUCCACAAACGGGGCACAGCCCGCAGGCUACCCACGGGCAACAUUAUCUCCUGGAUGGGUACAACCACUGCCUUUUUUAUUUUUAUCUUUUACUUUUUUUUAUUUUUGGUAGAGACAGGGUCUUGCUGUGUCACCCAGGCUGGAGUAUGGUGGUGUGAUCAUAGCUUACUGCAGCUCCGACCCCCUGGGCUCAAGGGAUCCUCCUGCCUCAGCUUCCCGAGUAGCUGGGACUACAGGCACACAGCACCAUGGCCAGCUAAGUUUGUUUUUUUGGGUGUUGGGGGGGAUGGUCAGGGGUAGAGAUGGGGCCUCACUAUGUCUCCCAGGCUGGCUUUUUUUUUUUUUUUUUUUUUUUGAGAUGGAGUCACGUUCUGUCACCCAGGCUGAAGCACAAUGGUGUGAUCUUGGCUCACUGCCACCUCUGGGUUCAAGCGAUUCUCCUGCCUCAGCCUUCCGAGUAGCUGGGAUUACAGGCACGUGCCACCAUGCCAGCUAAUUUUUGUGUUUUUAGUAGAGACAAGGUUUUACCAUGUUGCCAAGGCUGCUCCCGAACUCCUGACCUCAGGUGAUCCUCCUGCCUCAGUCUCCUAAAGUGCUAGGAUUACAGGCGUGAGCCACUGCGCCUGGCCCCAGGCUGGUCUUGAACUCCUGCCCUCAAGCGAUCCUCGUGCAUCGACAGCUCAAAGUGCUGAAAUUACAGGCAUAGGCCACCGUGCCCAGCCACAAGCAGCAUCUUGCAGAUGAGAACACUGAGGCUCAGGGGAAGCAACACGUGCAGUCCCCGAGAGCCUCGUCAAAUAACAAUGGAACACCCACCCAUACACCGCAGCUCAAGGAAGCUGUUUCUGUGCUGAUGCCUGCCAUUCUCCAAGAAAAAACUCCGCCAUUCACAGGGUGUGUUUAAGGCAGAGAAGAGAAUACAAAUGCAUCUCCCCGCGUACCCGCCUAGGGCAUCUCUGGAAAAAUAUACUCAAAUACUCAAGAAACGGCGGGGGAACGGGGUGGGAGGAGGACUUCUCUCUCACUGCAUAUCCUUUGAGUAUUUUGAUGAUUUGGACAUGUGAACAUAUUCGCUCUUCAGCAAGUAAAUGGUUGUUUUGUUUGUUUUU
This is a long non-coding RNA of Pan troglodytes (chimpanzee), 2080 nucleotides long. RefSeq lists it as uncharacterized. The record is from RefSeq and is a predicted model, not a curated record. NCBI's taxonomy places the organism in Eukaryota, Metazoa, Chordata, Mammalia, Primates, Hominidae. The transcript is spliced from 3 exons.